UGUCAUCCUUGAAUAUAUUGAUGAAACUUGGAAAAAUGCUUCUCCCCUUCUGCCUGAAGAUCCCUAUAAGAAAGCCAAAGUUCGCUUCUGGGCUAGUUUUAUCCAGCAACAGUUGUUUGAGGCUAUGGGCAAAGUCAUGACGCAGGAUGGAGAAGCACAAGAGAAAGCUGCAGACGAAGUGUUUGAGAAAAUGAAAGCAUUGGAAGAGGGAAUGAGUGAAUUCUUUCCGGAGGGCAUUCAGGAUAUAGACGUCACAAAAAUUGGAUUAUUAGACAUCUUGAUGAGCACAACAUUUGGGUCCUUCAAGGUUUUUGAGGAAGUGAUUGGUGUAAAAAUUCUUGUGCCUGAAAGAAACCCAUUGAUAUACAAAUGGGUGAUAGCCUUGAAACAAGUUCCAUUGGUGCAAGAGUCACUCUCUUCCCCUCACAAGCUUGCGGCUCUUCUUCAACAUUAUAGACAGAAUACUAUAAAACCUCGCAAUUAGAUAUCAGUGCGUGGAAUUGUUGCUGUUUGUUGUGUUGGGUCUCAUUUCAAUAAGAUAACAACCUUUUGUUUGUGGGGCAAAUUCAACUUUAGUCCCUUUCUUAU
RNAcentral lists this unclassified non-coding RNA (588 nucleotides) under Hevea brasiliensis (rubber tree). Lineage: Eukaryota; Viridiplantae; Streptophyta; Magnoliopsida; Malpighiales; Euphorbiaceae. The record is from RNAcentral.